RNAcentral lists this long non-coding RNA (380 nucleotides) under Brassica napus (rape). Its description in RNAcentral is "long non-coding RNA (BNAP_LNC004222)". Lineage: Eukaryota; Viridiplantae; Streptophyta; Magnoliopsida; Brassicales; Brassicaceae. The record is from RNAcentral.
CUCUAUGCUGUCUUAUUCUUAUAAUUAUUAUCAUAGUAGUUUUACGAAUUCAAAUUUACAACUAAUCAGAACAUGCAUCAAUUUGAUGGAAUGUUAAGUUUUUCCCUGUUUUACCAAGUUUACACAAACACUUAAAACAAAGUAAUAGUCUCAAUUUUCUACCGAGUUACACAAACACAAAAACAAAAUAAUCUCAAUUUAUAUAAAGUUUGACAAACUUAAAUGGAAACCUUUCACUAAGUUUUACCUAGUUAAACAAACAUAAAUAACAAAAUUUUACUGAAAUAACAAGUUACACAAACUUGUUUUACACAUCCCCAACAACCUUUUUCCAUUACCACUUCCACUGUCCUUCUCAUUUGUGCCCUAGCCAACACUCU